This 74-nucleotide transfer RNA is filed under the name Anaerolineae bacterium. RNAcentral describes it as "tRNA-Thr". It matches the Rfam family "tRNA". Rfam says of the family: Transfer RNA (tRNA) molecules are approximately 80 nucleotides in length. Their secondary structure includes four short double-helical elements and three loops (D, anti-codon, and T loops). Lineage: Bacteria; Bacillati; Chloroflexota; Anaerolineae. The record is from RNAcentral.
GCCGGUGUAGUUCAGAAGUAGAACGCCACCUUGGUACGGUGGAAACGAGGGUGCGAUUCCCUCCGCUGGCUCCA